ACGCUCGACACCUACGGGGGGCAGCAGUGGGGAAUAUUGCACAAUGGGGGAAACCCUGAUGCAGCGACGCCGCGUGAAGGAAGAAGUAUUUCGGUAUGUAAACUUCUAUCAGCAGGGAAGAAAAUGACGGUACCUGACUAAGAAGCCCCGGCUAACUACGUGCCAACAGCCGCGGUAAUCUGAGCGGGCUGGCAAGGC
RNAcentral lists this ribosomal RNA (198 nucleotides) under uncultured bacterium. RNAcentral's name for it is "partial 16S ribosomal RNA". It matches the Rfam family "Bacterial small subunit ribosomal RNA", at positions 328 to 539 of the family's 1533-position model. The record is from RNAcentral.